RNAcentral lists this ribosomal RNA (486 nucleotides) under uncultured bacterium. Its description in RNAcentral is "partial 16S ribosomal RNA". It matches the Rfam family "Bacterial small subunit ribosomal RNA", at positions 30 to 507 of the family's 1533-position model. The record is from RNAcentral.
AUUGAACGCUGGCGGCAUGCCUUACACAUGCAAGUCGAACGGCAGCACGGGUGCUUGCCCCUGGUGGCGAGUGGCGAACGGGUGAGUAAUACAUCGGAACAUGUCCUGUAGUGGGGGAUAGCCCGGCGAAAGCCGGAUUAAUACCGCAUACGAUCUACGGAUGAAAGCGGGGGCCCUUCGGGCCUCGCGCUAUAGGGUUGGCCGAUGGCUGAUUAGCUAGUUGGUGGGGUAAAGGCCUACCAAGGCGACGAUCAGUAGCUGGUCUGAGAGGACGACCAGCCACACUGGGACUCAGACACGGCCCAGACUCCUACGGGAGGCAGCAGUGGGGAAUGUUGGACAAUGGGCGAAAGCCUGAUCCAGCAAUGCCGCGUGUGUGAAGAAGGCCUUCGGGUUGUAAAGCACUUUUGUCCGGAAAGAAAUCCUUGGCCCUAAUACGGUCGGGGGAUGACGGUACCGGAAGAAUAAGCACCGGCUAACUACGUG